RNAcentral lists this transfer RNA (69 nucleotides) under Hypsopygia regina. RNAcentral's name for it is "tRNA-Leu". The record is from RNAcentral. Lineage: Eukaryota; Metazoa; Arthropoda; Insecta; Lepidoptera; Pyralidae.
ACUAUUUUGACAGAAAAAUGUAAUGAUUUUAGAAGUCAUAAAUAUAUAAGUUUAAUUAUAUAGAUAGUA